This 1028-nucleotide long non-coding RNA is filed under the name Homo sapiens (human). Its description in RNAcentral is "long intergenic non-protein coding RNA 1277". Lineage: Eukaryota; Metazoa; Chordata; Mammalia; Primates; Hominidae. The record is from RNAcentral.
CAUGGAUGUUUUCCUGAAUGUUUCCAAUCAAGCUCUAAACUAAAAUGAAGAGACCCACUAGAUUUUUUUAAUUGGCAUUAUAAUUAUGCUAAUAGAACUGAUGUCAGAAGAAGAUUCUACUAGCAUUAAAACGAUGUAUUAUUGAUGAUUUUUGGUUAAAUCUUAAUGUAAAAGUUGGCUUUAUUUUUUUAAUUGUGCAUCCUUGGUACAUGGUUAUAAACUGCCAAAAAAAUAAAAAUAAAAAAGAGUAGAUCUAUUGAAGAUCUACCUACCUUAAUAAUGUGUCUGGAAUUGGUUCCUGCCGGUAGAUUAGUGGUCUCAGUGACUUCAAGAAUGAAGCGGCAGACCUUGGUGCGUAAACAAUUGCUUUUAAAACUUCAUUAGGUUUUUGUGUGAACAUAAACUUUCGAUUCAUUUGGAUAAACACCAGGGAACACAAUUGCAAGAUCAUGUGGUCACGUUGACAGCAUGAACCUUCGAUGUGAUGUGAGGAAAAUGGCAUUCUACCUCUGUGUUCUUCCUCCCCAAAAUUUGUAACCACCAUCUAAUCAUGAGGAAAACAUCAUACAAGUCCAAAUUGAGGAAGAUUCUACAAAAUGCCUGAUUAAUAUUCAUCGAAACUGUCAAGGUCAUCAAAAGCAAGGAAAGUCUGAGAAACUGCCACAGCCUAAAGACAAUCCAGGGAAACGUGAUGACUCAGUGGUAUUCGGGGUGGGUUUCUGGAACAGCAAAAGGACAACAGGUAAAAUCUAAGAACAUACGAAUAAAGUGUGAACUUUAAUUAAUAAUGAUGUAUCAAUAUUGAUUCAUUAGUUUUGACAAAUGUACCAUAGUAACGGAAGAUGUUAACAAUUAGAGAAACUGGGUGCAGGGUUGUGGGAACCCUGUGUACUAUCUUUGCAACUUCCCUAUAAAUCUAAGACCAUUCUAGAAUACAAAGUUCAUUUUAAAAUAAAUUUUUAAAAUAUUUAGAAUACUAGACCACGGUAUCAAAAUAGGUAGAAAUCCUUAGUCAUAGGACUCUUAUA